ACAGCAGUCGCCGCGGGAAUACGUAGGGAGCAAGCGUUAAUCGGAAUUACUGGCCGUAAAGCGUGCGCAGGCGGUUAUAUAAGUCAGAUGUGAAAUCCCCGGGCUCAACCUGGGAACUGCAUUUGAGGCUGUAUGGCUAGAGUGUGUCAGAGGGGGGUAGAAUUCCACGUGUAGCAGUGAAAUGCGUAGAUAUGUGGAGGAAUACCGAUGGUGAAGGCAGCCCCCUGGGAUAACACUGACGCUCAUGCACGAAAGCGUGGGGAGCAAACAGGAUUAGAUACCCCUGUAGUCCCUGUCUCUUAUAC
RNAcentral lists this ribosomal RNA (305 nucleotides) under uncultured bacterium. RNAcentral's name for it is "partial 16S ribosomal RNA". It matches the Rfam family "Bacterial small subunit ribosomal RNA", at positions 508 to 807 of the family's 1533-position model. The record is from RNAcentral.